CUACAGUGGGAAGGAUAGAUUGAGAAAAAACUGCACCUUCCCUGAAUGUCUUAGGGUAAAACCAUGUUAGGUAGCUAAAAAAAAUUUUUUUUAGACCUUUAAAAUUGAGGUCACAGCUUUCUUUCUUAACCUCUUGUGUACUGAAGUAAUGUAUAGCUGACCUCUGUGAUCCCGGUAUAGUUUAGGGUAAUCAGAAGAGAAUAGAAAUUAAG
Pelobates cultripes (western spadefoot toad) is the source of this 212-nucleotide non-coding RNA. Lineage: Eukaryota; Metazoa; Chordata; Amphibia; Anura; Pelobatidae. The record is from the annotation of a GenBank genome assembly.